ACGCACGCUGGCGGCGUGCUUAACACAUGCCAGUCGAACGGAAAGGCCCUGCUUGCAGGGUGCUCGAGUGGCGAACGGGUGAGUAACACGUGGGUGAUCUGCCCCUUACUUUGGGAUAAGCCUGGGAAACUGGGUCUAAUACUGGAUAGGACCAUGCUGUAGGUGGUGUGGUGGAAAGAUUAGUUUCGGUAAGGGAUGAGCUCGCGGCCUAUCAGCUUGUUGGUGGGGUAAUGGCCUACCAAGGCGUCGACGGGUAGCCGGCCUGAGAGGGUGGACGGCCACAUUGGGACUGAGAUACGGCCCAGACUCCUACGGGAGGCAGCAGUGGGGAAUAGUGCACAAUGGGCGCAAGCCUGAUGCAGCGACGCCGCGUGGGGGAUGACGGCCUUCGGGUUGUAAACUCCUUUCAGCCAUGACGAAGCCCUUGUGGUGACGGUAGUGGUAGAAGAAGCACCGGCUAACUACGUG
Molecule: ribosomal RNA, 468 nt
Filed under: uncultured bacterium
Lineage: Bacteria
Description: partial 16S ribosomal RNA
Rfam family: Bacterial small subunit ribosomal RNA
Source: RNAcentral